This 407-nucleotide ribosomal RNA is filed under the name uncultured microorganism. Its description in RNAcentral is "bacterial SSU rRNA". It matches the Rfam family "Bacterial small subunit ribosomal RNA", at positions 509 to 917 of the family's 1533-position model. The record is from RNAcentral.
CAGCCGCCGCGGUAAUACGUAGGGGGCGAGCGUUACCCGGAUUCACUGGGCGUAAAGGGGGUGUAGGCGGCUCGGUAAGUCGGGUGUGAAAUCCCACGGCUCAACCGUGGAAUUGCGCCCGAAACUGCCGAGCUUGGGGCCGGUAGAGGGAGACGGAACUGCCGGUGUAGGGGUGAAAUCCGUAGAUAUCGGCAGGAACGCCGGUGGGGAAGCCGGUCUCCUGGGCCGCGCCCGACGCUGAGGCCCGAAAGCUAGGGGAGCAAACCGGAUUAGAUACCCGGGUAGUCCUAGCCGUAAACGAUGCCCACUAGGUGUGGGGGGUUAAUCCCUCCGUGCCGAAGCUAACGCAUUAAGUGCCCCGCCUGGGGAGUACGGCCGCAAGGUUGAAACUUAAAGGAAUUGGCGGG